CAAGGUUUCCGUAGGUGAACCUGCGGAAGGAUCAUUCACAAGAUUAUAUUUUAUAUUACUUUGUGGAACAUUUGGUUGAAUUUACAUGUUUUAUUACAAAAAAUUAAUUAUAAUUAAAAAAAUAAUUUUAAGAAAACCUCCAACAACGGAUCUCUUGGUUCCCAGAUCGAUGAAGAGCGCAGCGAAUUGCGAAAUGUGAUGUGUAUUGCAGUGAAUCAUCAAUUCUUGAACGCACAUGGCACCCCUUUUAGGGGUAUGCUUGUAUGAGGGUGUUUAAUAUGAAAUUGCUUUGGCUUUUUUUAAAUAAAUGGUUUUUCAAAUUGUUACUAAUAGACGAAAGAAUCAGUGCAACAAGCUGUGUUGAAUCUUUCAUUAAAUCUUUUAGUUAACUACUUUAACUAUUUGCACCUCAUAUCAAGCAAGACUACCCGCUGAACUUAAGCAUAUCAA
This 450-nucleotide ribosomal RNA is filed under the name Blastobotrys terrestris. RNAcentral describes it as "eukaryotic LSU rRNA". The stretch from base 135 to 273 matches the Rfam family "5.8S ribosomal RNA". Lineage: Eukaryota; Fungi; Ascomycota; Dipodascomycetes; Dipodascales; Trichomonascaceae. The record is from RNAcentral.